GAGUUUGAUCGUGGCUCAGAGCGAACGCUGGCGGCAGGCCUAACACAUGCAAGUCGAGCGGCCGUAGCAAUACGGCAGCGGCAGACGGGAGAGUAACACGUGGGAACGCGCCCUUCGGUUCGGAAUAACUCAGGGAAACUUGAGCUAAUACCGGAUACGCCCUUACGGGGAAAGAUUUAUUGCCGAAGGAACGGCCCGCGUCCGAUUAGCUAGUUGGUGAGGUAAUGGCUCACCAAGGCGACGAUCGGUAGCUGGUCUGAGAGGAUGACCAGCCUCACUGGGACUGAGACACGGCCCAGACUCCUACGGGAGGCAGCAGUGGGGAAUAUUGGACAAUGGGCGCAAGCCUGAUCCAGCCAUGCCGCGUGGAUGAUGAAGGCCCUAGGGUUGUAAAGUCCUUUUAACGGGGAAGAUAAUGACGGUACCCGUAGAAUAAGCCCCGGCUAACUUCGUGCCAGCAGCCGCGGU
RNAcentral lists this ribosomal RNA (468 nucleotides) under uncultured bacterium. RNAcentral's name for it is "bacterial SSU rRNA". It matches the Rfam family "Bacterial small subunit ribosomal RNA", at positions 9 to 521 of the family's 1533-position model. The record is from RNAcentral.